RNAcentral lists this ribosomal RNA (274 nucleotides) under uncultured bacterium. Its description in RNAcentral is "partial 16S ribosomal RNA". It matches the Rfam family "Bacterial small subunit ribosomal RNA", at positions 523 to 796 of the family's 1533-position model. The record is from RNAcentral.
AUACGGAGGGGGCUAGCGUUGUUCGGAAUUACUGGGCGUAAAGCGCGCGUAGGCGGAUUGAUCAGUCAGGGGUGAAAUCCCGAGGCUUAACCUCGGAACUGCCUUUGAUACUGUCAAUCUUGAGUUCGCGAGAGGUGAGUGGAAUUCCUAGUGUAGAGGUGAAAUUCGUAGAUAUUAGGAAGAACACCAGUGGCGAAGGCGGCUCACUGGCUCGAUACUGACGCUGAGGUGCGAAAGCGUGGGGAGCAAACAGAAUUAGAUACCCUAGUAGUCC